This 330-nucleotide ribosomal RNA is filed under the name uncultured eukaryote. RNAcentral describes it as "partial 18S ribosomal RNA". It matches the Rfam family "Eukaryotic small subunit ribosomal RNA", at positions 1470 to 1796 of the family's 1831-position model. The record is from RNAcentral.
CCCUUAGAUGUUCUGGGCCGCACGCGCGCUACACUGAUGCGUUCAACGAGUUUAGAACCUUGACUGAUAGGUCUGGGUAAUCUUUUGAAUGCGCAUCGUGCUAGGGAUAGAUGAUUGCAAUUCUUCAUCUUCAACGAGGAAUGCCUAGUAAACGCAAGUCAUCAGCUUGCAUUGAUCACGUCCCUGCCCUUUGUACACACCGCCCGUCGCUCCUACCGAUUGAAUGUUCCGAUGAAUACCAUGGACUGAGAGUAUGAAUGGGUUCGCCUAUUUCUGCUUCUCGGGAAGUGGAGUAAAUCUUAACAUUUAGAGGAAGGAGAAGUCGUAACA